UGACUCUGUCUGAUAGGGGGCGGGGGAAAAGAAAUCGAUAAAGCAUAGUGUCGCGAUAUUUUCUGUCGCAACACUGUAUCAAUACACAGAUGCCGAGUAUCGAUCUUUUAUUAUAUAUGUGUUGGUGAGUUUGUCUGCUUAACAAUCCUAUUUUGCAGCAAUAAAAUUGAAGUGAUAUGAACAAAUUUAUCUUUUUUUAG
Etheostoma spectabile (orangethroat darter) is the source of this 200-nucleotide long non-coding RNA. RefSeq lists it as uncharacterized. The transcript has 3 exons. Lineage: Eukaryota; Metazoa; Chordata; Actinopteri; Perciformes; Percidae. The record is from RefSeq and is a predicted model, not a curated record.